CCUGCGGGUAACUCACGGGUUGGAUCUCACAUCACACGCUCUGCUUCUGUGCAGGAGGCGUCCGCGGUCGUCGUCGUCAUCAUCAUUUCGAUCUGCUUCUGACCUAACCACCACCACCACCACCACCAACUUGCUGCCCCUUCCUCGUUUGCUAUUCUCCAAUCCACCAUACGGCGACGGAUCCGAUCGAGAUCGGCAACGGCGGAUUAGGGACGAGGGGCUGAGAGCGGCGAGAACAAGAGGACGCGGCUGCGGCGUUGGGGUGUGGGCGGAGGGGAAAGCCAAGAGGAAGGAUGAAUUGGAUCAGCCGGAAAAUCCACCUCUACAACGUCACCAUGGGUCUCUACAUGCUCGAUUGGUGGGAGCGCUACCUUUUCACUCUCGGGGUUUAGAUAUCUUGAUUCUUGUCUUGCUCUGGUUCAUCUUCUACAAUGGAACCAAAUCCGCCACCGAGUUCUACGACAGUUUUCUUAAGCCGAAGCUCAAUGCUUACCACUCUGUAGCUGAAGGAAAAAUACCUUCCUAAUGGCAACUAAUGGGGAAAGAGGAUGACGGAUUUAAUUUAUGUGAUGUUCUCGUCGUUCAUCCUGGAUGACGGCAGUUGUUUAAGUCUUAGACAUCUGUAUAGUAAAUUCCAUUGGGAGGUUUAGUUUGAUGCCAUUUGUUUCUACAAUAAAUUGCUGUUUUCUUUGUUCCUGUUUGGAAUCAUUUAAGUGAGAAAUAGUGCUUCAUUUAUUGUACCAAGUAACUAAGCUUCAGUUUCUUUGGAUCAAGAAACUGGACCAGAUUAGAAUCCAAAAACUAUGACCAUUUAUCAUUAGUUGUA
Long non-coding RNA from Musa acuminata AAA Group (dessert banana), 826 nucleotides. RefSeq lists it as uncharacterized. The record is from RefSeq and is a predicted model, not a curated record. The transcript is spliced from 3 exons. Lineage: Eukaryota; Viridiplantae; Streptophyta; Magnoliopsida; Zingiberales; Musaceae.